Molecule: ribosomal RNA, 246 nt
Filed under: uncultured bacterium
Lineage: Bacteria
Description: partial 16S ribosomal RNA
Rfam family: Bacterial small subunit ribosomal RNA
Source: RNAcentral
UACGAAGGGUGCAAGCGUUACUCGGAAUUACUGGCGUAAAGCGUGCGUAGGUGGUUCGUUAAGUCUGUCGUGAAAGCCCGGGCUCAACCUGGGAAUGGCGAUGGAUACUGGCGGGCUAGAGUGCGGUAGAGGAGAGUGGAAUUCCCGGUGUAGCAGUGAAAUGCGUAGAGAUCGGGAGAACAUCAGUUGCGAAGGCGCUCUCUGGACCAGCACUGACACUGAGCACGAAAGCGUGGGAGCAACAGG